CACGUAGGGGGCGAGCGUUGUCCGGAUUUAUUGGGCGUAAAGAGCUCGUAGGCGGUUUGGUAAGUCGGGUGUGAAAACCCCAGGCUCAACCUGGGGACGCCACCUGAUACUGCUAUGACUUGAGUCUGGUAGGGGACCACGGAAUUCCUGGUGUAGCGGUGAAAUGCGCAGAUAUCAGGAGGAACACCGGUGGCGAAGGCGGUGGUCUGGGCCAGUACUGACGCUGAGGAGCGAAAGCGUGGGUAGCAAACAGG
This 254-nucleotide ribosomal RNA is filed under the name uncultured bacterium. RNAcentral describes it as "partial 16S ribosomal RNA". It matches the Rfam family "Bacterial small subunit ribosomal RNA", at positions 524 to 776 of the family's 1533-position model. The record is from RNAcentral.